GAUAUUGCGACAUCAAAAUGGAUUAUCAAAAAUAAACUAAUAAGCAAGUCCUACCGCUCAGUUUGUUAAGAAAUUCAAACCAUACACAUCAAUUUCUAACAACUGUCUACAACUCUGAGUUCAUUUGGCCUAGAUCCUAAGUUUAGAGAUUAGAGGGACUCUUGGCUCAAGUAGGUCUACUUUAACGCCGUAAAAAAGAGCAGACGACGACCUUUCAAAGAUGGAGGACAGCAGCCAUCAAUAUGAAGUAGAAGAGGUACCAGAAAGCCACAGUUAUUUGGUCACCUAUCUAAACCAGACACCAUCAAGAGUGGCGCUGUUUAUUUUUGACGAGAAGGUCAAAGAGGCCAGAAGCAGAAUCUGUGAGGAGUAUUUGUGGACGGAGAUAGGUCAGGAGAAGCUGAAGAUGAUCAUCGUUGACGAUACGAUAGAGAAGGAGAUGGGAGAUGAAAAAGUCGUUGGAGAUUAUAUCAAGGAGCCGAUGAGAGGAUACAAGUUUAAAAUAGAGGAACGGCUAGCUUGAGAAAUAAAUGUUCGGUUAGGUUUUGCUGUAAUAAGUUUUUAGAAUAAUGUAUGUGUAUGUAUGCGAAGAGGUUAGCGGAUACGUGUAUGU
Physella acuta is the source of this 613-nucleotide long non-coding RNA. RefSeq lists it as uncharacterized. Lineage: Eukaryota; Metazoa; Mollusca; Gastropoda; Physidae. The record is from RefSeq and is a predicted model, not a curated record.